Long non-coding RNA from Brienomyrus brachyistius, 480 nucleotides. RefSeq lists it as uncharacterized. The transcript has 3 exons. Lineage: Eukaryota; Metazoa; Chordata; Actinopteri; Osteoglossiformes; Mormyridae. The record is from RefSeq and is a predicted model, not a curated record.
GCAGUGCGUCCAGGCGAUCAUCCGCCACACAGUCGUUGUCCCGGAGAAAGCGGAGCUUGAUGGCCCGGAGUUCCUGCCGCAGGAGCGCUUCGUACGGCAGCUCCAGCGCGGAGAAGACGGCUGCUCCGAGCGCCAGGGUGAAAAACCUACAGACCCCACGACUUUGACCUAAAAGAGAUGCUUAAAAGUCAAAGGGCUGUAGAUUGACAGAAGGUAAGAUGGGCCUCCUCCCUCCCAUGAUCAUCUUUCCUGGCUGUUGAUUGCACAUCUCUGUAUAUGCUUACCUAUGGACCUUAGUAUGAUUUUUUAAAUGCUGGAAUGUACUUUGGAGUGGGCAUGUAUUAUCAAACAUUAUAGGUUUGGGCUUUUCUCUACUUCUGUGGCCCUGAUUCAUAUUCUUCACGGACUGGAGGGUUUAAGAUGUGUUUGUUUCCUAUGGCUGUCUGUGUAAGAAUAUGUCAUUAUAUUAAAAUCAUCCGC